GCGGAUGUGGCGGAAUUGGUAGACGCACCAGAUUUAGGUUCUGGCGCCGCGAGGCGUGGGGGUUCGAGUCCCUUCAUCCGCACCA
Molecule: transfer RNA, 85 nt
Filed under: Henriciella sp.
Lineage: Bacteria; Pseudomonadati; Pseudomonadota; Alphaproteobacteria; Hyphomonadales; Hyphomonadaceae
Also listed under: 3 other names
Description: tRNA-Leu
Rfam family: tRNA
About the family: Transfer RNA (tRNA) molecules are approximately 80 nucleotides in length. Their secondary structure includes four short double-helical elements and three loops (D, anti-codon, and T loops).
Source: RNAcentral